Molecule: non-coding RNA, 503 nt
Organism: Pelobates cultripes (western spadefoot toad)
Lineage: Eukaryota; Metazoa; Chordata; Amphibia; Anura; Pelobatidae
Source: the annotation of a GenBank genome assembly
GGGGGAUCACCCAAAAGCUAGGCUUCAGUCGAUGCCUAUCAUUGGAGAACCCUUUUCCCGCAUAGCCGUUGACAUUGUGGGUCCACUGGCCAGGGCUAGUCCAUCCGGUAAGAAGUAUAUUCUCACCGUGGUGGACUAUGCCACACGUUAUCCACUGGCCAGGGCUAGUCCAUCAGGUAAGAAGUAUAUUCUCACCGUGGUGGACUAUGCCACACGUUAUCCAGAGGCAGUAGCGCUGUCUAAUAUAGAGGCAGAGACGGUUGCUGAUGCCCUGGUUAAAAUCUUCACUAGGGUCGGGUUCCCUCAGGAGAUUCUCUCCGAUCAGGGAACCAAGUUCACCGCUGUGCUUACCCAGCAGCUGUGGAAGGUGUGCGGUAUUAAACCCCUGCUUAGCUCACCUUAUCACCCACAGACUAACGGUCUCUGCGAGCGAUUUAAUGGCACCCUCAAACAGAUGUUGAGGACCUUUACUGACACUUGCAGAGAUUGGGAGCGAUUCCUGC